This 311-nucleotide ribosomal RNA is filed under the name Facetotecta sp. RNAcentral describes it as "partial large subunit ribosomal RNA". Lineage: Eukaryota; Metazoa; Arthropoda; Thecostraca. The record is from RNAcentral.
AAAACAAUUACGCUGUUAUCCCUAGAGUAACUUGUUUUAAUUUCUUUUAAAAGGAUCAAGUUAUAUAUUUUUGUUAAAAUUUUUUUAAUUUUGAAGUUAUAAAUUUCAAAAACCGCCCCAGUUAAAUUAUAAAUACCUUAUAUAAGGUAUUUAUAAUAAAGAUUCAUAGGGUCUUCUCGUCCUUUUAUUAAAUUUCAUCUUUUUCAAUGAAACAUUAAUUUCGAUUUGUAAAAAUUGAGACAGUUUUAUGCUCAUUAACCCUUUCAUACUAUUUUACAAUUAAUAAGCUAAUUAUUAUGCUACCUUUGCAA